CCGGGAUUGCCUUAGUAACGGCGAGUGAAGCGGCAAAAGCUCAAAUUUGAAAUCUGGUACCUUCGGUGCCCGAGUUGUAAUUUGGAGAGGGCAACUUUGGGGCCGUUCCUUGUCUAUGUUCCUUGGAACAGGACGUCAUAGAGGGUGAGAAUCCCGUGUGGCGAGGAGUGCGGUUCUUUGUAAAGUGCCUUCGAAGAGUCGAGUUGUUUGGGAAUGCAGCUCUAAGUGGGUGGUAAAUUCCAUCUAAAGCUAAAUAUUGGCGAGAGACCGAUAGCGAACAAGUACAGUGAUGGAAAGAUGAAAAGAACUUUGAAAAGAGAGUGAAAAAGUACGUGAAAUUGUUGAAAGGGAAGGGCAUUUGAUCAGACAUGGUGUUUUGUGCCCUCUGCUCCUUGUGGGUAGGGGAAUCUCGCAUUUCACUGGGCCAGCAUCAGUUUUGGUGGCAGGAUAAAUCCAUAGGAAUGUAGCUUGCCUCGGUAAGUAUUAUAGCCUGUGGGAAUACUGCCAGCUGGGACUGAGGACUGCGACGUAAGUCAAGGAUGC
This 543-nucleotide ribosomal RNA is filed under the name Saccharomyces cerevisiae (brewer's yeast). RNAcentral describes it as "eukaryotic LSU rRNA". It matches the Rfam family "Eukaryotic large subunit ribosomal RNA", at positions 69 to 626 of the family's 3401-position model. The record is from RNAcentral. Lineage: Eukaryota; Fungi; Ascomycota; Saccharomycetes; Saccharomycetales; Saccharomycetaceae.